This 646-nucleotide ribosomal RNA is filed under the name uncultured bacterium. RNAcentral describes it as "bacterial SSU rRNA". It matches the Rfam family "Bacterial small subunit ribosomal RNA", at positions 62 to 697 of the family's 1533-position model. The record is from RNAcentral.
UCGAGGGGCAGCGGGGGAGUACAAUACUCCCGCCGGCGACCGGCGCACGGGUGAGUAACACGUAUGAAACCUGCCCGUAGCAGGGGGAUAAGCGGAAGAAAUUCCGUCUAAUACCGCGUAACAACCCAUGGAGGCAUCUCCGUGGGUUUAAAGGAAGCGAUUCCGGCUACGGAUGGUCAUGCGUCGCAUUAGCUUGUUGGCGGGGUAACGGCCCACCAAGGCGACGAUGCGUAGGGGUUCUGAGAGGAAGGUCCCCCACACUGGUACUGAGACACGGACCAGACUCCUACGGGAGGCAGCAGUGAGGAAUAUUGGUCAAUGGCCGCAGGGCUGAACCAGCCAAGUCGCGUGAGGGAUGACGGUCCUAUGGAUUGUAAACCUCUUUUGUCAGGGAGCAAAGGGCGCCACGUGUGGCGUUUUGCGAGUACCUGAAGAAAAAGCAUCGGCUAACUCCGUGCCAGCAGCCGCGGUAAUACGGAGGAUGCGAGCGUUAUCCGGAUUUAUUGGGUUUAAAGGGUGCGCAGGCGGAAUGUCAAGUCAGCGGUAAAAUUUCGGGGCUCAACCCCGUCGUGCCGUUGAAACUGGCGUUCUUGAGUGAAGUAGAGGCAAGCGGAAUUCCUAGUGUAGCGGUGAAAUGCGUAGAUAU